UCAAACCUUUAACAGAAGCUUGUGUAGAAGAGUUGUCAAAACCCUUGUGUCCCUUUUGUGGGAUACUGCUUCAGAGAUUACAGCCAGAUUUUCUGCUUUCUGCAUCGCCAGUGUAAUUAAUAUGGGGUUGUUCCAUAUUUAGGAUUCUAUUAGAUUGACUAAUUGCUCAAUGUACAAUUAGUUUCUAAUUUAAUCUUAUUG
Molecule: unclassified non-coding RNA, 201 nt
Filed under: Hevea brasiliensis (rubber tree)
Lineage: Eukaryota; Viridiplantae; Streptophyta; Magnoliopsida; Malpighiales; Euphorbiaceae
Source: RNAcentral